This 497-nucleotide ribosomal RNA is filed under the name uncultured bacterium. RNAcentral's name for it is "bacterial SSU rRNA". It matches the Rfam family "Bacterial small subunit ribosomal RNA", at positions 23 to 507 of the family's 1533-position model. The record is from RNAcentral.
CUCAGGAUGAACGCUAGCUACAGGCUUAACACAUGCAAGUCGAGGGGAAACGAUAUUGGAAGCUUGCUUCUGAUAGGCGUCGACCGGCGCACGGGUGAGUAACGCGUAUCCAACCUGCCCAUCACUUGGGGAUAACCUUGCGAAAGUAAGACUAAUACCCAAUGACGUCUCUAGAAGACAUCUGAAAGAGAUUAAAGAUUUAUCGGUGAUGGAUGGGGAUGCGUCUGAUUAGCUUGUUGGCGGGGUAACGGCCCACCAAGGCGACGAUCAGUAGGGGUUCUGAGAGGAAGGUCCCCCACAUUGGAACUGAGACACGGUCCAAACUCCUACGGGAGGCAGCAGUGAGGAAUAUUGGUCAAUGGACGAGAGUCUGAACCAGCCAAGUAGCGUGCAGGAUGACGGCCCUAUGGGUUGUAAACUGCUUUUAUAAAGGAAUAAAGUCGGGUAUGCAUACCCGUUUGCAUGUACUUUAUGAAUAAGGAUCGGCUAACUCCGUG